AUUGAACGCUGGCGGCAUGCCUUACACAUGCAAGUCGAACGGCAGCACGGGUGCUUGCCCCUGGUGGCGAGUGGCGAACGGGUGAGUAAUACAUCGGAACAUGUCCUGUAGUGGGGGAUAGCCCGGCGAAAGCCGGAUUAAUACCGCAUACGAUCUACGGAUGACAGCGGGGGACCUGCGGGCCUCGCGCUAUAGGGUUGGCCGAUGGCUGAUUAGCUAGUUGGUGGGGUAAAGGCCUACCAAGGCGACGAUCAGUAGCUGGUCUGAGAGGACGACCAGCCACACUGGGACUGAGACACGGCCCAGACUCCUACGGGAGGCAGCAGUGGGGAAUUUUGGACAAUGGGCGAAAGCCUGAUCCAGCAAUGCCGCGUGUGUGAAGAAGGCCUUCGGGUUGUAAAGCACUUUUGUCCGGAAAGAAAUCCUUGGCCCUAAUACGGUCGGGGGAUGACGGUACCGGAAGAAUAAGCACCGGCUAACUACGUG
RNAcentral lists this ribosomal RNA (486 nucleotides) under uncultured bacterium. Its description in RNAcentral is "partial 16S ribosomal RNA". It matches the Rfam family "Bacterial small subunit ribosomal RNA", at positions 30 to 507 of the family's 1533-position model. The record is from RNAcentral.